Long non-coding RNA from Amphibalanus amphitrite, 200 nucleotides. RefSeq lists it as uncharacterized. Lineage: Eukaryota; Metazoa; Arthropoda; Thecostraca; Balanomorpha; Balanidae. The transcript has 2 exons. The record is from RefSeq and is a predicted model, not a curated record.
GCAGCAGCCGCAGAGGGCGCUGGCGAGCCAUUGUAGAGGGCACCACCGUCCAGUCAUGGCCUCGGUUGUGCCGUAAGAUAUCAGCUGAUCGUUACGUGGCUAACAGCUGAUCGAUGCGCAGAGCCCAGAGGUCAAACGGGUCAAGCGGCGCAAUGGAGGAAUGGUGUUAAUUACGUACGAAUAUACAGCUACAAACUGAC